GGGGAUGCAUUGGUUUCGACAGAAAUUAGGAAGCAUAAAUAGCGAGUGAUGGAUUCUCGCUUGGCCAUCUAAAAAAUGCGAGAAAAAAAAUAAUUAACAACAAUAAAGUUGCUUUAGCUGCCUAAGCGCGGCUUCGUUUUAUUUUAACGUGCCACUUGGUUAAAAUAAGGCGUCAAAUAAAGUGGAAACAAAACUAUUCUCGUUUCUGGAAUAGUGGGUAAUUUAGAAACUACUCAUUUCACGUUUUGUUUAUCUAGAAUGAAGUGAGGAAACUAUUAAGAUAAACUGCACUCGGAGAAAUUUAUGUGGAAAAAUUUUUGGACAGGAGUUCAACUCUCCUCAUCUCCACCA
RNAcentral lists this transfer-messenger RNA (351 nucleotides) under human gut metagenome. It matches the Rfam family "transfer-messenger RNA". From Rfam's summary of the family: Bacterial tmRNA, also known as 10Sa RNA or SsrA, is named for its dual tRNA and mRNA-like properties. Its role is to liberate the mRNA from a stalled ribosome. The record is from RNAcentral.